RNAcentral lists this ribosomal RNA (467 nucleotides) under uncultured bacterium. RNAcentral describes it as "partial 16S ribosomal RNA". It matches the Rfam family "Bacterial small subunit ribosomal RNA", at positions 28 to 506 of the family's 1533-position model. The record is from RNAcentral.
GACGAACGCUGGCGGCGUGCUUAACACAUGCAAGUCGAACGGAAAGGCCCUGCUUUUGUGGGGUGCUCGAGUGGCGAACGGGUGAGUAACACGUGAGUAACCUGCCCUUGACUUUGGGAUAACUUCAGGAAACUGGGGCUAAUACCGGAUAGGAGCUCCUGCUGCAUGGUGGGGGUUGGAAAGUUUCGGCGGUUGGGGAUGGACUCGCGGCUUAUCAGCUUGUUGGUGGGGUAGUGGCUUACCAAGGCUUUGACGGGUAGCCGGCCUGAGAGGGUGACCGGCCGCAUUGGGACUGAGAGACGGCCCAGACGCCUACGGGAGGCAGCAGUGGGGAAUAUAGCACAAUGGGCGGAAGCCUGAUGCAGCAACGCCGCGUGCGGGAUGACGGCCUUCGGGUUGUAAACCGCUUUCGCCUGUGACGAAGCGUGAGUGACGGUAAUGGGUAAAGAAGCACCGGCUAACUACGG